GGGGCCUUAGCUCAGUUGGGAGAGCGCCUGCUUUGCACGCAGGAGGUCAGGAGUUCGAAUCUCCUAGGCUCCA
Molecule: transfer RNA, 73 nt
Filed under: Ligilactobacillus aviarius
Lineage: Bacteria; Bacillati; Bacillota; Bacilli; Lactobacillales; Lactobacillaceae
Description: tRNA-Ala
Rfam family: tRNA
About the family: Transfer RNA (tRNA) molecules are approximately 80 nucleotides in length. Their secondary structure includes four short double-helical elements and three loops (D, anti-codon, and T loops).
Source: RNAcentral